GAUUACAACUGAAGAGAGCAACUCUUUAUAUAGGCGAGGAGGCUCUUUAACAUUACAGACAACCGGUUAGAAACUGGCUACCGACACUCUUAAAGCAACAUAAAGGAAAGCAAAAUAAAGACAGACACAUUAUUACAUUAUUGACUAACAAACUUUAACUUUUAUCAUGGAGUGGUGGACAGAUUGAGGUUGUCAAAGUCGAAGUCAUCAGAGUCGAUUUCAAAAAAAGUCCUUUGGCCACUGUCUGUGUAUAGGAGAUAGUGGGUUAGCACUUUGAAUGGCAUCUCGUGACUCUGUGUCCAUUGGAUCCUGGGAAUCCUGCCACAUGGGAUGGGUCCAGUCAAUAGGCUCAUCAGUGAGAGAUUGGAUGGGACCAAGUGAUGUACAAUUCACAUGGGGAGGUACCAGACAAUAAUAGCUGUUGAUUUCACAAAGAUAUUCAGCUAGUUGUUUUCUCAAGGGUCCAUGGCCUCCUUGUCAAUAAUUGAUCCCACGUAAGUCCUCCACUCGUAUUCAGUAUUCUGGGUCCAGAGGAGUCCAUCGGGCCUUCUAGAGAAA
Molecule: unclassified non-coding RNA, 558 nt
Filed under: Hevea brasiliensis (rubber tree)
Lineage: Eukaryota; Viridiplantae; Streptophyta; Magnoliopsida; Malpighiales; Euphorbiaceae
Source: RNAcentral